UGACACUUCACCCAGCUGAUGUCAGGCUACCUGCUGCUUACGUUACUUAUUUUUCUAUUUAGACAGGGUCUCCUGUAGUUCCCGCUAGCCUCAGCCUGACUCCACGUGUUUCCCUCCCAAGUGCUGGAGGUGGCAGAUGAGCGGCACAGUGCCUGGCUGUGUUGACUUUUGAAGAAGGCAGCUGUUUUCUCUGCGGGCAGGAAGGUGGCAGCAGGACGUGUAGGUGUGUUGCUAUGACACCGUGUGUUGCUGUUGUCACGUAACUUCUCUGAAGUCAUAGAUGGCGAGUUAGAUUCUGUGACACAAAGGGAAGCGUGUCUGACUAAUCAUUCCCACACUGCCUUCACUUCUGAGGGCUCCCUGGCCUGGGAGAGUUUGAGCAGAAGUGGUUCCCAGUGGGAAAGUGCGAACUUCAGGAUGGGCCGUGUGGAGACCUCUGGGGCUGAGACGUGACUAACACAUUUCCAUGCUGAAGGAUGUGGCGGACUGGCAAGGGACUAGAAUAAGAGAUGACGGCCAACCAGGAGCUGACACAUCCGGGGUGGAGAUGCUCCCCAGGAAGGAGGGACGCCUGUGGUGACAAAGUCUGUUUAAGAGGAACAGGGGCCUCGUGGGUCAGUUGCAUAACCUGGAGCUUCAAGCUCUGCCUCACUUGGCACUGAGCCUCGGUUUACAGACAAUCUUCAUCCACGUGAUUUGAAUGGAAGCAGGAGGGAGCAUGUCCCUGGUGCCUGGGCUUCGGGUGCCCUCUUGUGGCGAAUUAUUGGUUUUGAGUUUUCAGUUUCUCCUUCCCUCUCUGGAAUCUUACUGUCUUCAAGGUCAUUGUUGUUAAAAUGGAAAGGCAAAGGACUUGGGGGUGUAACUCAGUGGAAAAGAAUGUGAGUCUCUGGGUUCAGUCUUUGUCUGCAGGGUGGUCAAAGUCUGAGGGUGACAUCCCUAACAUGGAGGAAAGGCCACCGAUGGGGGCAGAGCCCUUGGUCUAAAAGACACCUGUCUGUGCUGUCUGUAAUGCGCUCAGAAGAACUGACCAGGGCCCUACUCGAUCUUCCUUCCGGUCUCUUCUAGCCUAGACUCUAGGCCCGUGGUUCUUAGGGUGGGUUUUUGUUGGGGGAAGGCAGAGGUCAGGGGUCC
RNAcentral lists this long non-coding RNA (1131 nucleotides) under Mus spicilegus (steppe mouse). RNAcentral's name for it is "lncRNA (ENSMSIG00000007119.1)". The record is from RNAcentral. Lineage: Eukaryota; Metazoa; Chordata; Mammalia; Rodentia; Muridae.